RNAcentral lists this ribosomal RNA (429 nucleotides) under bacterium. Its description in RNAcentral is "partial 16S ribosomal RNA". It matches the Rfam family "Bacterial small subunit ribosomal RNA", at positions 355 to 776 of the family's 1533-position model. The record is from RNAcentral.
UAGGGAAUCUUCGGCAAUGGGGGCAACCCUGACCGAGCAACGCCGCGUGAGUGAAGAAGGUUUUCGGAUCGUAAAGCUCUGUUGUAAGAGAAGAACGUGUGUGAGAGUGGAAAGUUCACACAGUGACGGUAACUUACCAGAAAGGGACGGCUAACUACGUGCCAGCAGCCGCGGUAAUACGUAGGUCCCGAGCGUUGUCCGGAUUUAUUGGGCGUAAAGCGAGCGCAGGCGGUUUAAUAAGUCUGAAGUUGAAGGCAGUGGCUUAACCAUUGUUCGCUUUGGAAACUGUUAGACUUGAGUGCAGAAGGGGAGAGUGGAAUUCCAUGUGUAGCGGUGAAAUGCGUAGAUAUAUGGAGGAACACCGGUGGCGAGAGCGGCUCUCUGGUCUGUAACUGACGCUGAGGCUCGAAAGCGUGGGGAGCAAACAGG